This 465-nucleotide ribosomal RNA is filed under the name uncultured bacterium. RNAcentral describes it as "partial 16S ribosomal RNA". It matches the Rfam family "Bacterial small subunit ribosomal RNA", at positions 28 to 507 of the family's 1533-position model. The record is from RNAcentral.
GACGAACGCUGGCGGCGUGCUUAACACAUGCAAGUCGAACGGUAAGGCUCCAGCUUGCUGGGGUACACGAGUGGCGAACGGGUGAGUAACACGUGGGUGACCUGCCCUGCACUUCGGGAUAAGCCUGGGAAACUGGGUCUAAUACCGGAUAGGACCGCACCGUGAGGGUGUGGUGGAAAGUUUUUUCGGUGUGGGAUGGGCCCGCGGCCUAUCAGCUUGUUGGUGGGGUAAUGGCCUACCAAGGCGGCGACGGGUAGCCGGCCUGAGAGGGUGGACGGCCACAUUGGGACUGAGACACGGCCCAGACUCCUACGGGAGGCAGCAGUGGGGAAUAUUGCAGAAUGGGCGGAAGCCUGAUGCAGCGACGCCGCGUGGGGGAUGACGGCCUUCGGGUUGUAAACUCCUUUCACCAUCGACGAAGGGUUUCUGACGGUAGAUGGAGAAGAAGCACCGGCUAACUACGUG